Pongo abelii (Sumatran orangutan) is the source of this 148-nucleotide unclassified non-coding RNA. It matches the Rfam family "Metazoan signal recognition particle RNA". Rfam says of the family: The signal recognition particle (SRP) is a universally conserved ribonucleoprotein. It is involved in the co-translational targeting of proteins to membranes. The eukaryotic SRP consists of a 300-nucleotide 7S RNA and six proteins: SRPs 72, 68, 54, 19, 14, and 9. NCBI's taxonomy places the organism in Eukaryota, Metazoa, Chordata, Mammalia, Primates, Hominidae. The record is from Ensembl.
GCCGGGCAUGGUGGCGCGUGCCUGUAAUCCCAGCUACUUGGGAGGCUGAGGUGGGAGAAUCGCUUGAACCUGGGAGGUAGAGGUUGCAGUGAGCCAAGAUCGGCCCACUGCACUCCAGCCUGGGUGACAGAGUGAGACUCUGUCUCAA